ACAAAAUUGACUCCUCGUCCUCAAAUCUUGACCAUUUUUUUGCUUUUUCAUUCCCACUCACUCUCGCUAAUACCCUGCACAAACUCCCAAUCCCAAACGCAAGGGUUUUUGCCUUUGCAUUGCAGAGCCAAGCGAUAAUAAUGGCAAAUACAAACUCUGCGUCUGCACCAGUGGUCGAAGAAGUAAGGGAGAGGAUUGAACUGACACAGAUUGAGCGGAGAAUCUUCGACAGGCUUCUCGCCACUCUUCGCCAUUUUGGCCUCACCAAUCACCAUCUCCGAGUCGCAGGUGGCUGGGUCCGCGACAAGCUUUUAGGGAAAGAGUGCUACGACAUUGAUAUCGCUCUCGACAACAUGUUGGGAAGUGAAUUCGUCGACAAAGUCAGGGACUACUUGUUGUCUACUGGAGAACAAGUCCAAGGUGUCGCUGUUAUUCCAUGCAAUCCUGAACAGUCUAAACAUUUAGAAACAGCAAGGAUGCGCCUUUUUGAUAUGUGGAUUGAUUUUGUAAACUUACGGUCUGAAGAGUACAGUGAUAAUAGCCGCAUUCCUACAAAGCAAAAAUUUGGCACAGCAGAAGAGGAUGCAUACAGAAUGGAUUUAACCAUCAACAGCCUGUUCUACAAUAUUAACACUGAUUCAGUUGAAGAUUUUACUAAAAGAAGCAUUGCAGAUCUAAAAUCUGGAAAGAUAGCGACCCCUUUACCUCCGAAGACUACUUUUUUUGGAUGAUCUGUUACAAGUUAUUCGAGCCAUCCGUUUUGGUGCAAGAUUUGGAUUCCUAUUAGAUGAAGAUCUAAAGGAAGCUGCUUCCUGUGAUGAAGUGAAAGAUGCUCUUGCAGCUAAAAUUAGCAGAGAGCGCAUUGGAGUUGAAAUUGAUCUCAUGCUCUCUGGAAAUCAACCAGUUAAAGCAAUGAUGUAUAUUUGUGAUUUGAUGUUAUUUUGGAUUGUCUUCACUCUUCCUCCCAAGUUUGAGCCUGCCAAGUCAGAAGGCUGUGAUAGGAUUAGCAUUGGUUACUUAGAUGCUACAUGGAGCCUCAUUCAAUUGAUUGGAGACUCUACUUUCAAUGAUGAACAACGAAGGCUGUCCUUGUACGCUGCCUUGUUUCUCCCAUUUAGGAAGACCAUAUAUAAAGAUAACAAGGCCAAAAAGAUACCUGUUGUCAAUUACAUUUUCCGGGAGUCUCUUAAGCGAAAAGCCAGUGAUGCUGAGACAGUUGUAAAUCUACACAGUGCAUUGGACAAAUUCUUAUCUUUGAUUCCUUUCCUAGUGUCCGAUGGGAACAUCCAACCCAUUGAAGUUAAUUGGGGAAGAGGAUUGGAUGAUGUCCCUCUUACUUCAAAACUUCGGGUACUGACAGGAUUACUUCUACGAGAAAUCAAAGAUUUUUGGCGAGUGACCUUGUUGUUGUCUACAUUGUUAUAUCCCACUGAAGUUGAUUGUACAGAAGAUUUUCCAAAGCAGCACUUUCAAUUGGACAAGCAAAGAGAUCUAUUUGAGGCAGUUGAAAGUGCCAUUGCUAAAUUAGGUCUUGAGAAAGUGUGGGAUGCAAAACCACUGGUCAAUGGGAAGGACAUUAUGAGUGUCUUGCAGCUUAAAGCUGGAGGACCACUUAUUAGGGUUUGGCAAAAAAAAUUGCUUGCGUGGCAACUAGCCCAUCCCUAUGGAACUGCAGAGGAAUGCACUGAUUGGAUGAGGCAAAGCCAUUCUAAGCGUGUAAAGACAGAGUAACUAUCGACUCUUUGAGAUGUACUCAUGGCGAAUCUCAUCUGGACCAAUUGGUGAGAGCACUCUGGCUUGCACUGAAGGAGAAGCUUGACUGCUAGUUGCCAGAAAUUGCUGAGACAUGGUGUGGUUCCCUGAUGGAUUUCUGGGAUUGGAGUUACUGUGGCUAUUCAAUUAGGGGGCACCAGCACUCCUGCCACAUUUGAGAUAAGAAAAUGCUUCAAAUAUAUAGUGCAUCAUCUUUCUCACAACAUAUGGUUCACACAAUAUAGAUGCAAGAGAAUUAUUGGUCCAACUGAUGAUCUCCUGCCCACUCAAAGAGAAUGAAUCUCCAUGCUUAUUGUUAAUGUAAAUAAAAAUUUCUCAAUGUUAUUGAAUUUCUCCAUAGGCAGCGACUUAGCACCUGUCCUGGUAAAUUCGCCACUUUCUACAAGCAUGGACAAAUGACACUUUUGUACAAGCAUUCGUGCAAAAUGAUGGUUACCACCAAAUUUGCUACCUUCUAUUUUGUGCUCUUGUGAUCAAAGAGUAACCAAGCUGUAAAAGUUUCAUCCAUAAUGGUUAAAAUAGCAAUGCUAAUUUU
This is an RNA transcript of Quercus lobata, 2308 nucleotides long. It is a transcript of the gene named tRNA nucleotidyltransferase cca2-like, with no coding region annotated. The transcript has 14 exons. NCBI's taxonomy places the organism in Eukaryota, Viridiplantae, Streptophyta, Magnoliopsida, Fagales, Fagaceae. The record is from RefSeq and is a predicted model, not a curated record.